This 21-nucleotide microRNA is filed under the name Helianthus annuus (common sunflower). The record is from RNAcentral. Lineage: Eukaryota; Viridiplantae; Streptophyta; Magnoliopsida; Asterales; Asteraceae.
UGAGUUGUCUGAGGCUUGAAC